Molecule: long non-coding RNA, 324 nt
Organism: Leptinotarsa decemlineata (Colorado potato beetle)
Lineage: Eukaryota; Metazoa; Arthropoda; Insecta; Coleoptera; Chrysomelidae
Source: RefSeq, a predicted model, not a curated record
CCUAUUCGCUGUCAAAUAAUCCCGUUAACUACUUUUGGAAUAUCCAUUUUUGUCUGCAGCUAUUUUUUCAUCAACUCGGAAAUCAGCCCUGCCAGCAAUUUCAGAAUGUACUUUGUUUUGCUAUCUUGGAUAAUCUCGCUAUAUAUAUUAUGUUCAUGUGUACAGGAGGUAACUGAUGAAACAGAAAAAAUAUAUUGGAAUUUAUAUCAGUGUCACUGGGAAGAUUGGAAUAAUGAAAAUAGAGGAAUACUACUGCUAAAGCUUGUGAAGCUCAGCAACCCUUGGACUCUCACUACAGGCUUUGUUGUGAACAAAAGACUAAUG